GUAGGCUGGUUUUCCAGGCAAAUCCGGAAAAUCAAGGCUGAGGCGUGAUGACGAGGCACUACGGUGCUGAAGCAACAAAUGCCCUGCUUCCAGGAAAAGCCUCUAAGCAUCAGGUAACAUCAAAUCGUACCACAAACCGACACAGGUGGUCAGGUAGAGAAUACCAAGGCGCUUGAGAGAACUCGGGUGAAGGAACUAGGCAAAAUGGUGCCGUAACUUCGGGAGAAGGCACGCUGAUAUGUAGGUGAGGUCCCUCGCGGAUGGAGCUGAAAUCAGUCGAAGAUACCAGCUGGCUGCAACUGUUUAUUAAAAACACAGCACUGUGCAAACACGAAAGUGGACGUAUACGGUGUGACGCCUGCCCGGUGCCGGAAGGUUAAUUGAUGGGGUUAGCGCAAGCGAAGCUCUUGAUCGAAGCCCCGGUAAACGGCGGCCGUAACAAUAACGGUCCUAAGGUAGCGAAAUUCCUUGUCGGGUAAGUUCCGACCUGCACGAAUGGCGUAAUGAUGGCCAGGCUGUCUCCACCCGAGACUCAGUGAAAUUGAACUCGCUGUGAAGAUGCAGUGUACCCGCGGCAAGACGGAAAGACCCCGUGAACCUUUACUAUAGCUUGACACUGAACAUUGAGCCUUGAUGUGUAGGAUAGGUGGGAGGCUUUGAAGUGUGGACGCCAGUCUGCAUGGAGCCGACCUUGAAAUACCACCCUUUAAUGUUUGAUGUUCUAACGUUGACCCGUAAUCUGGGUUGCGGACAGUGUCUGGUGGGUAGUUUGACUGGGGCGGUCUCCUCCUAAAGAGUAACGGAGGAGCACGAAGGUUGGCUAAUCCUGGUCGGACAUCAGGAGGUUAGUGCAAUGGCAUAAGCCAGCUUGACUGCGAGCGUGACGGCGCGAGCAGGUGCGAAAGCAGGUCAUAGUGAUCCGGUGGUUCUGAAUGGAAGGGCCAUCGCUCAACGGAUAAAAGGUACUCCGGGGAUAACAGGCUGAUACCGCCCAAGAGUUCAUAUCGACGGCGGUGUUUGGCACCUCGAUGUCGGCUCAUCACAUCCUGGGGCUGAAGUAGGUCCCAAGGGUAUGGCUGUUCGCCAUUUAAAGUGGUACGCGAGCUGGGUUUAGAACGUCGUGAGACAGUUCGGUCCCUAUCUGCCGUGGGCGCUGGAGAACUGAGGGGGGCUGCUCCUAGUACGAGAGGACCGGAGUGGACGCAUCACUGGUGUUCGGGUUGUCAUGCCAAUGGCACUGCCCGGUAGCUAAAUGCGGAAGAGAUAAGUGCUGAAAGCAUCUAAGCACGAAACUUGCCCCGAGAUGAGUUCUCCCUGACUCCUUGAGAGUCCUGAAGGAACGUUGAAGACGACGACGUUGAUAGGCCGGGUGUGUAAGCGCAGCGAUGCGUUGAGCUAACCGGUACUAAUGAACCGUGAGGCUUAACCCU
RNAcentral lists this ribosomal RNA (1430 nucleotides) under metagenome. RNAcentral's name for it is "bacterial LSU rRNA". It matches the Rfam family "Bacterial large subunit ribosomal RNA", at positions 1520 to 2925 of the family's 2925-position model. The record is from RNAcentral.